UACGUAGGGUGCAAGCGUUACUCGGAAUUACUGGGCGUAAAGCGUGCGCAGGCGGCUCUGCAAGUCAGGUGUGAAAUCCCCGGGCUUAACCUGGGAACUGCAUUUGUGACUGCAUGGCUAGAGUGCGGCAGAGGGGGAUGGAAUUCCGAGUGUAGCAGUGAAAUGCGUAGAUAUGCGGAGGAACACCGAUGGCGAAGGCAAUCCCCUGGGCCUGCACUGACGCUCAGGCACGAAAGCGUGGGGAGCAAACAGG
RNAcentral lists this ribosomal RNA (253 nucleotides) under uncultured bacterium. RNAcentral's name for it is "partial 16S ribosomal RNA". It matches the Rfam family "Bacterial small subunit ribosomal RNA", at positions 524 to 776 of the family's 1533-position model. The record is from RNAcentral.